GUGUGUGUGUGUGUGUGUGUGUGUGUGUGAGGUGUUUAUCCAGGUCUGGUGCACUUGUGUACGUUUCCUCAUAUUUCUGUGGAUUACUAAGAAAUUCUUCCUGAUGUUCUGAUUAGAACUGUGUGUGUGCGCGCGCGAGUGUGUGUGCGCGCGCGAGUGGUGUGUGCGCGUGUGUGUGUGCGCGCUUGUGAAUUGAUGAUGAUUUAUGUUUGGUUGUAGAGAAGAUGCCAAGGGGAAACUUCCCUGAGUCAUCACUCACACAUGCUCGCUCGCUCUCUCUCUCUGUGUCUCUCUCUGUCUCUGUAUGUCUCUCUGUUUGUAGGUCUCUGUAUGUCUCUCUGUUUCUCUCUGUAUGUGUGUCUCUCUGUGUGUGUCUCUCUCUCUCUCUGUGUCUCUCUCUGUGUGUGUCUCUCUCUCUCUCUGUGUCUCUCUCUGUGUGUGUCUCUCUCUCUGUAGGUCUCUUCCUCUAUGCAUCAUGUGUAAUACAGUAUGCUGUAGUAAUAAUACAAUGGUGUGUGUGUGUGUGUGUGCGCGUGUGUGUGUGCACAGGAAGUGGCAGUGGCCCGCUCCACACAGACGGCUGUCUCACGUUACUCAGCCUCAGUUUUCUCUUUUCCGUAUGCAACAGGAAAUGGAUGUAUAUUACAUAAGAGGUGGGGGGUGGAGUCUCUGUGGGGUGGAACUGUUUACCAUUACUCAACAUUUUCCCCCGUGUGUGUGAGAGAGAGAGAGAGAGAGAGAGAGAGAGAGAGAUCAGUGGCAGGAAGAUGACUUUCAUUUCUACUUGACUGAGCAGGAGGCUCUCUCUGUAUCAGAUAAGAGAAUGUUUGAGUUUGGAGAUUUCUGAUGGUGCUGUGGUGAUGGUGAUGGUGAAGAUGGCUGUGAAUGAAGGACACACACUUACACACUCUUUGCUCGGAUCUCUCAUCAUACCAUGUUUAACAUGUUUUAACAUUCACUUUCAAUCAGUUUCACUUUCUACUCUGAUCUGCUGAAUUAAUAUUUAAAUCAGUCCGGCGGGGGUGAUUCUGUAUCAGUCUGAACUUCUAGACUUCUAGGAUUUGAAGCCGAAUCAAUACGUACAGGUUAUAAAUCUGAAUUGGAGUCUGAGGUUCCGUUCACACCUGGCUUCAACGUGUGUUUUGGGUGAUGGGAUGGUCAGGUGUGAACAGGGUCCGGAAGGUGUGUCUAGAAGGUGAAGGACAACUAAUUGCCCUCACUGUGAGACUGUCUGGCUCUGAAGGUUCGAGCUCUCUGCUGUAAGCUAAUGGAUAAAGACGCCGCUGUUGCAGCAGAAACCAGCUGCUUCUCAUAGGUUCACUCAUUACCUCAAGUUUCGUUAGAAGACCACCUGAUUAAAAUGUUUAAACAGUUUGUGAAUCCAUGAGAUUAGCUAUUAGGGACGUUUCUGCCUGAGGAUAAAUACUGCAGAAGACGGAUAUAAUAAACGUGUGUGUGAUUGCUUCUCUCCAGCAGAAACCAUCUAUGUAAUCCAUUCGCAAGUGCCCACUGAAGACGUGCUCAAAAUGCCAGGUGUGUCGCUGUUCGAUUGUGAUCCACUCACCCUGGACGGGUGUUAUAGCCAGGUGUGGACGUGGCCAGAGCCGACGCGCUCAGGACACGACUCUGAAUCGGUUUCGGAGCCGACGCGCUCAGGACACGACUCUGAAUCGGUUUCGGAGCCGACGCGCUCAGGACAAUACUCUGAAUCGGUUUCGGAGCCGACGCGCUCAGGACACGACUCUGAAUCGGUUUCGGAGCC
Molecule: long non-coding RNA, 1762 nt
Organism: Ictalurus punctatus (channel catfish)
Lineage: Eukaryota; Metazoa; Chordata; Actinopteri; Siluriformes; Ictaluridae
Source: Ensembl